UACGGAGGGUGCAAGCGUUGCUCGGAAUUAUUGGGCGUAAAGGGUAGGUAGGUGGUCUUAUUUGUCUGGGGUGAAAGCCUUGAGCUUAACUCAAGAAGUGCCCCAGAAACGGUAAGACUCGAGUCCUGGAGAGGUGAGUGGAAUUCCCGGUGUAGCGGUGAAAUGCGUAGAGAUCGGGAGGAACACCAGAGGCGAAGGCGGCUCACUGGACAGGCACUGACACUAAACUACGAAAGCGUGGGGAGCAAACAGG
Molecule: ribosomal RNA, 253 nt
Filed under: uncultured bacterium
Lineage: Bacteria
Description: partial 16S ribosomal RNA
Rfam family: Bacterial small subunit ribosomal RNA
Source: RNAcentral